GAUGAACGCUGGCGGCGUGCUUAACACAUGCAAGUCGAACGGAAAGGCCCAAGCUUGCUUGGGUACUCGAGUGGCGAACGGGUGAGUAACACGUGGGUGAUCUGUCCUGCACUUCGGGAUAUGCCUGGGAAACUGGGUCUAAUACCGGAUAGGACCACUUCUUGGAUGUUGUGGUGGAAAGUUUUUUCGGUGUGGGAUGAGCUCGCGGUCUAUCAGCUUGUCGGUGGUGUAAUGGCCUACCAAGGCGUCGACGGGUAGCCGGCCUCAGAGGGUGUACGGCCACAUUAGGACUGAGAUACGGCGCAGACACCUACCAGGGGCAGCAGUGGCGAAGAUUGCACAUAGGGCGCAGGCCUGAUGCAGCGACGCCGGGUGGGCGAUGACGGUCUUCGGGUUGUAAACUCCUAUCGCUAUGGACGAAGCGGUUUGUGACGGUACCUGGAGAAGAAGAACCGGCUAACUACGUG
RNAcentral lists this ribosomal RNA (467 nucleotides) under uncultured bacterium. RNAcentral's name for it is "partial 16S ribosomal RNA". It matches the Rfam family "Bacterial small subunit ribosomal RNA", at positions 28 to 507 of the family's 1533-position model. The record is from RNAcentral.